This is a long non-coding RNA of Oncorhynchus keta (chum salmon), 1609 nucleotides long. RefSeq lists it as uncharacterized. The transcript has 3 exons. The record is from RefSeq and is a predicted model, not a curated record. Lineage: Eukaryota; Metazoa; Chordata; Actinopteri; Salmoniformes; Salmonidae.
GUAUGAGGGUUAGCUCUCAGGCUAGUAUGGAAGGCGGCUGGUGGAAGCCAGUAUGAGGGUUAGCCCUCAGGCUAGUGUGGAAGCCAGUAUGAGGGUUAGCUCUCAGGCUAGUAUGAAAGGUGGCCGGUAUGAGGGUUAGCUCUCAGGCUAGUAUGGAAAGUGGCCGGUAUGAGGGUUAGCUCUCAGGCUAGUAUGGAAAGUGGCCGGUAUGAGGGUUAGCUCUCAGGCUAGUAUGGAAAGUGGCCGGUAUGAGGGUUAGCUCUCAGGCUAGUAUGGAAAGUGGCUGGUAUGAGGGUUAGGUCUCAGGCUAGUAUGGAAAGUGGCCGGUAUGAGGGUUAGCUCUCAGGCUAGUAUGGAAAGUGGCCGGUAUGAGGGUUAGCUCUCAGGCUAGUAUGGAAGGCGGCUGGUGGAAGCCAGUAUGAGGGUUAGCUCUCAGGCUAGUAUGAAAGGUGGCCGGUAUGAGGGUUAGCUCUCAGGCUAGUAUGGAAAGUGGCCGGUAUGAGGGUUAGCUCUCAGGCUAGUAUGGAAAGUGGCCGGUAUGAGGGUUAGCUCUCAGGCUAGUAUGGAAGGUGGCCGGUAUGAGGGUUAGCUCUCAGGCUAGUAUGAAAGGCGGCCAGUAUGAGGGUUAGCUCUCAGGCUAGUAUGGAAGGUGGCCGGUAUGAGGGUUAGCUCUCAGGCUAGUAUGAAAGGUGGCCGGUAUGAGGGUUAGCUCUCAGGCUAGUAUGGAAGGCGGCUGGUGGAAGCCAGUAUGAGGGUUAGCCCUCAGGCUAGAAUGAAAGGCGGCUAGUGGAAGCCAGUAUGAGGGUUAGCUCUCAGGCUAGUAUGAAAGGUGGCCGGUAUGAGGGUUAGCUCUCAGGCUAGUAUGAAAGGUGGCCGGUAUGAGGGUUAGCUCUCAGGCUAGUAAGAAAGGCGGCCAGUAUGAGGGUUAGGUCUCAGGCUAGUAUGAAAGGCAGCCAGUAUGAGGGUUAGCUCUCAGGCUAGUAUGAAAGGUGGCCGGUAUGAGGGUUAGCUCUCAGGCUAGUAUGAAAGGCAGCCAGUAUGAGGGUUAGCUCUCAGGCUAGUAUGAAAGGCAGCCAGUAUGAGGGUUAGCUCUCAGGCUAGUAUGAAAGGCGGCCGGUAUGAGGGUUAGCUCUCAGGCUAGUAUGAAAGGCAGCCAGUAUGAGGGUUAGCUCUCAGGCUAGUAUGAAAGGCAGCCAGUAUGAGGGUUAGCUCUCAGGCUAGUAUGAAAGGUGGCCAGUAUUUGGGAGAGAAAAUAUCUAUAGACUUCCAAAAGUACUCGCACUCAAAACCAUGAAGAGGAUUAACCCAAGGAGGCGGAGAUGCAAAAAUAAUAUAAUUCACAUUUAAAAGAAUAUCAUUCAUUUAAUCCAUGCUCAAAAGAGUAGAACAAAUUCAAGUGCAAGGUGGUAAUACAACUAUAGGUUAGUUUCAGCCUUAUGCCUUCAUCAGGGCUGAACAAACAGACCUGGUGUUUAACAUGAUUUAUUCAUGACUCCGGUACCUCAUCUCUCUACCCCACACAUCUCUGUACCCCACACAUCUCUCUACCCCACACAUCUCUCUACCCCACACAUCUCUCUACCCCACACAUCUCUCUACCCCACACAUC